Molecule: long non-coding RNA, 439 nt
Organism: Oryzias melastigma (Indian medaka)
Lineage: Eukaryota; Metazoa; Chordata; Actinopteri; Beloniformes; Adrianichthyidae
Exons: 3
Source: RefSeq, a predicted model, not a curated record
GGUCGCAGUGGUACAGUCCAGCUAAACGCGCGAAGACUGAUUUCAGAGCACGCGCGUGGGUAAACAGCAGUUUCUGGACGCAUUUUCUGGACUUUGGCGACAGACACAUUGAGCGGUGACUUUGUGAAACGAAAACCAAACUCGGAGAAAGAUUUAGGAACCGUCCAUCCAUCCGCGCGACGGCAGGAGAGAAGACAUGCUAGCUGCAGCGACACGGAGCUCCUGAGAACUGCAGGUCACCAUCAUCAAGCCGGGAAAUUUCUCUGGAACCACCAACGUCUUGAAGACCAAAACUGCUUUGGAUCUCUGGGUGAAACUCCACGAGGACUGAAAGAAAUUCUUCAACCGUUGGUUGUGAACACUCACCAGAACCCUGCUGUGGAUCAGAAGAGCGAGUCCUGGUCCGUUUGAGAACGGAGGCCACUGACCACCAAACUGU